RNAcentral lists this ribosomal RNA (498 nucleotides) under uncultured bacterium. RNAcentral describes it as "partial 16S ribosomal RNA". It matches the Rfam family "Bacterial small subunit ribosomal RNA", at positions 27 to 507 of the family's 1533-position model. The record is from RNAcentral.
GGACGAACGCUGGCGGCGUGCCUAAUACAUGCAAGUUGAGCGAUGAAGAUUGGUGCUUGCCCCAAUUUGAAGCGCAGCGAACGGGUGAGUAACGCGUGGGGAAUCUGCCUUUGAGCGGGGGACAACAUUUGGAAACGAAUGCUAAUACCGCAUAACAACUUUAAACAUAAGUUUUAAGUUUGAAAGAUGCAAUUGCAUCACUCAAAGAUGAUCCCGCGUUGUAUUAGCUAGUUGGUGAGGUAAAGGCUCACCAAGGCGAUGAUACAUAGCCGACCUGAGAGGGUGAUCGGCCACAUUGGGACUGAGACACGGCCCAAACUCCUACGGGAGGCAGCAGUAGGGAAUCUUCGGCAAUAGACGAAAGUCUGACCGAGCAACGCCGCGUGAGUGAAGAAGGUUUUCGGAUCGUAAAACUCUGUUGGUAGAGAAGAACGUUGGUGAGAGUGGAAAGCUCAUCAAGUGACGGUAACUACCCAGAAAGGGACGGCUAACUACGUG